Molecule: small RNA, 103 nt
Filed under: Halpernia frigidisoli
Lineage: Bacteria; Pseudomonadati; Bacteroidota; Flavobacteriia; Flavobacteriales; Weeksellaceae
Description: Chryseobacterium frigidisoli Flavo-1 RNA
Rfam family: Flavo-1 RNA
Source: RNAcentral
UUGCAAAAGGGAUAGAAGCGGCAUCCUUUUUUUGCUGUGGGAAAUUUUCUAUUUAAAAAAUAAGCGUCGGCAAAAAAAGAUAUAGCGGAUAGCCCGACCCAAG